AUGUUUCCGAAGAAAGGGCCCAAUCCCUACGGCCAGCCGCCGCAGUAUGGGGCGCAGCAACCGUACGGCAAAAUUCCUGUUAGCGUUGGGUAUGCGGCAUCUGCUGCAGCAGCUGGUGGCACUGAUGGCCAUCAGUUUGGCGGCAAUGCGGCACAGGGCGCUGUGGGGCAGUAUGGAGGGCCUUACGCUGCAGUUUAUGGCGCGCAGAAGGUUGGUGGACUUGCUAGCAAAGGUCCAAGUUCUUCUGGUCUUCCCAACCUGCAAGCUCAUCAAACAUCACUCUCUGAGUCAUCGAAGUUCUCAUCUGGAGCUGUAGGGUCCAGCCUGGGAAGGCCAAAUGAUGACUAUCUAGCUUCUCGUGCAUAUGUCCCAAAGCUAGAGCAGUACAGUACGCAUUAUGAAUUGGAGAGAAGGAUGUACGGUGAACAGUCAGCUAAUUUUGGCAGGAGAGAUGGCUUCAAUGAUUUGGAUAGAAGAUACCCCGAUCAUAUUCCUGGAAGCCAUCAGGUUUCAUCGACACGACAUCAGCAACUCCUAAAAACUCCACCGCAGCCUGUCUCUGACAUACGACAAGCCGAUUACUUUGCAGGAAGGACCGCCGGUCCAGUCCAUCAAGGUUCCCAGGAAGUUAGUGCAUAUGGAAGAGUUGAAGCCGAUCAUCACAGCUUGUCAAUUGCUGGAUCUGUUCCAUAUGGCGGCCAACAACAAGCUUCAAUCUUGGGGGGAACUCAGAGGACAAACAUGGACAGCCUUGUCUAUGGACAAGGGUCAUCCGGCAGUGGUUACGUGAUGGGCCUACCCCCUGGACGCGACUAUGCUUCAGGGAAGAGCUUGCUGCAUCCAUCUUCAGAGUCUGAUUACCGAGAUAGCAUCUUACCUCGUGUACAUCCAAGCAUCCCCAUGGUUGAUGAGCGAACAAGAGACAGGGUUGGUUAUCGCCGCGAACUGGAUCUAAGAGAUGAGGAGCAUAGAAGGGGCCUUUUGUGGGAAAGAGAAAAGGAAAGGGAACGGGAACGCGAACAAGAGCUACGAAACCAUGAAAUGGAAAGAGAGCAAGACAGGGAGCGGGAGCACCAACGACUAAGAGAGCGUGAAAGGGAAAGGGGACGCGAACGAGAAAGAGUACGUCUUCGUGAGCGCCGGGAGAAUGAGAGGGAGCGGGAUAGGAAGCAUGUGGCUAUUCCAAGGCGGGAGCACACUCCUCCGAGGACACCUGGUGAAAGGCGGCGUUCUUCUUCUGUUAGACCUGAGAAGCCUUUGCGGCGGCUUUCGCCUCGACGUGAUGUCCUGCAUAGGCCUCGUUCACCUGUUAAACAACUAAAGAGAGAAUAUAUUUGCAAGGUCUUUCCAUUUCGCUUGGUGGAUGCUGAGAGGGACUACUUAUCUUUGACAAAGCGAUAUCCUAGACUAGUGAUUUCUCCAGAUGUUUCUAAGGUUGUCUUGAACUGGCCAAAAGGAAACCUUAAUCUUUCAAUGCGCACACCAGUCAGUUUGGAGCAUGACAUCCAUGAAGUGGAUGAUAAGACCAAUGAAAGAACAGUUUUAUCUUCAGAGAAAUCGUACAGCACCGGUACUCCAGACACUGUUUGGAACGUAAAGGUUCUCUUGAUGAGUGGUAUGAGCAACGGUGCCUUCGCUGAUAUAUGUUCGUUGAGAAGUGCCGAGGAACGAAUAGCGCACUGGAACAAUGUCUUGAAAUUUGCUGUAUUUAAGAAGGAUCAUGCACUUAUUACAAUUGGAGGUCCUUGGAGUGCAGCAAUAGAUGGUGGAGAUCCAUUGAUUGACUGUUCGUGCUUGGUGCGAACUGCUAUCAGAUGCACUAAAGAACUGGUUCAGAUUGAUCUAUCUAAUUGCACACACUGGAAUCAUUUCCUCGAGGUCCAUUACAACAGAAUUGGCAAAGAUGGACUCUUUAGUCAUAAAGAGAUUACCGUACUGUUUGUGCCAAACCUGUCAGAAUGCAUACCUUUGGUAGAGUUAUGGAAGAAAACCUGGAUUACAUACAGAAAUUCAAAAGUAGACAGGGAGAAACUGGCUAUAAAGAGUGAAAAUGCCCCUUGUGAUACAAAGGAACAGAAGGAAGGAGCAGAUGAUGGUCAUAUGAGGGAGGGGGAUAUUUGCAAGGAUGCUAUCAAAAUUGAGAAAGUUGAUACUAAAAUGGAUGAGCAGGGCAAAGAUGGGGAGGCAAAGUUUGCUGAGAAUGAAGGGAAACCACUUGAUAACGCUGUGGAACAUAAUAAGAAGGGUGGGGACGUUCAAGGAAAUACCUCAGGCGACGCCUCCGUUCACCAUGCAGUUGAGGAUAAAAAGCCCACGCGAAGGAAAGUAAUAAGGAAGGUUAUCAGAAAAGUUGUUCGUGAAAAGCCAACUGCUGAAACUUCAAUUGACAAAUCAUCUCAGGUGGACAAGGCUGUGGUGGCAGAAACCACAAACAAAACUGUGGAAGAGCAGGUUGAACAAACAACCGAGGAUGUUAGUAAAGAAAAGGAUGGAACUGGCAUUAAUCUGCAACCUGAGACCAAUAGAACUGGGAAGAAGAAAGUAAUUCGAAGGAUUAUUAAGAGAAAAGUUCCUGCUUCAGGAUCCAAGUUGAUUACACCUGCUGUACCUGCAGAAACAAGUAAACAAGGAGGGGAAGUUAAACAAGAAAAGAAUGAUGAAAGCUUGACUGAUGCUGGAAAUUCUCAGAUUAAGCUGGCAGAACGGUCGAAGAUUGCUGCUGAAAAGAUUUCAGAUCCGAAGAAAGAAGAAAAGGCAGAUAAGGCCCAUCUAUGUACCGAGGAUAAAAAAUCAAAUGGAGAUAAGGUUAGUGAACAGGAAGGUGUGAAUGGAGAUGAUGUGAAUAAAGAGGGGGGAAAUGGAACGAAUGAUAAGCCAAAGGAUGGUAAAGAGAAAAAGAUUAGGGACCUGAAGAAGGAUCCAAAGCAAAAGUCACUUAACGACGCCAAAGAGAAGAAGAAAUCUGAUGAACCUCCUAAACAUCCAGGAUUCAUUCUGCAGACAAAGAAGAGUAAAGAGUCUAAACUCCGUCCAAUAUCCCUUUCAUUGGAUGGCCUACUAGACUAUACAACCAAUGACACAGAGGAAUCUGUUUUUGAGCUUUCGCUGUUUGCUGAGUCGUUCAGUGAAAUGCUUCAAUUCAGAAUGGGCUGCAUUAUCCUGUCUUUUCUUGAGAAACUACACAAGCACUAUGUUACAAAGAAGAACCGACGUAAGCGCACAAGAGAGGAUGAUCUAACGAAGGAAGGCACAAAAUCAUCAGAAAAGAGAUCAAAGACAACUGAAGCAGCAGAGAAGAUGGAGGAUGAAGAUCCUGACUAUGAAGAAGAUCCUGAGGAGGUAGAAAUAUAUGAAGACGAUGAGGACAUGGAUGGUGAUACUGCUGAGCAACAGGAUGGUAAUUUGAACAGUAGAGAGGUCAAAUUAGAAGAAGUAACAAAAGAAGAUAAACUGAACCAGAAAGCAGGGAAGGAGAUCGAAUUAGAAAAUGUUGCCUGUAUAGAUGAAAAGCCUGUUACUAUAGCAGAGAAAGGAGGUUUGGUAGAAGUUGGCGAUAAGGCAGCUGUAUCACCGAAAGGAGAUUCAGCAAAACAUGAAGUAGUUGAUAAGGACCUGUUGCAGGCUUUUCGCUACUUUGACAAGAGCAGAGUGGGCUAUAUCAAGGCAGAAGAUCUAAGGUGCAUUGUUCACAACCUGGGGAAGUUCUUGUCUAAUAGGGACGUGGAGGACUUGGUGGAGGCCGCGCUUGAUGAGAGCAAUUCGGCAAGGGAUAAUCGUGUUAUCUAUACAAAGCUUGUGAAGAUAGUGGAUCUCUGA
RNAcentral lists this ribosomal RNA (3816 nucleotides) under Triticum aestivum (bread wheat). Its description in RNAcentral is "partial small subunit ribosomal RNA". The record is from RNAcentral. Lineage: Eukaryota; Viridiplantae; Streptophyta; Magnoliopsida; Poales; Poaceae.